AGUCAAAUGAAUUAAAAGAGUAGAUAACAAAAUCAAGAUUUUUUAUCAAAGUUGGAUAUAUAGUUGGAUCAAAAUAGGUCAUAUAUAGUUCAGAUAAAUUUCAUACAUUUUUAUCUUUUAUUUAUAAUUAUACUUGUAGCCAGCCCACAUAUGUACUCGUAUUUUCAAUGUAAAAGCACGAUUCGAACUGGAGACUCAUUCCCAUGAAUUUUGCAGGUGGCGACUAAUUACGCACUUUGGCAUAACAAUUAUCCAAGUAGAGCUAGAAUACUUUUAGAAGCACCAACUCAUUGGUGCUUCUAAGUUUCUAGCCCUUGGAUCUACUCCCCAAUUACUAAUACCCCUUGGAUCAAACACUAUUCCACCUACCACCAUCAUCUCAACCCUACAUCUCUCCAUCCAAGGGCUAAAAACUCAAAAACAUCAACCCAUUAGUGCUUUUGAGAGUAUUCUAGCUCUACUCACAAUUAUCCUGUUGUCUUACAAAUGGCCUUGUCCAAAACAUUAU
Molecule: long non-coding RNA, 508 nt
Filed under: Ananas comosus (pineapple)
Lineage: Eukaryota; Viridiplantae; Streptophyta; Magnoliopsida; Poales; Bromeliaceae
Description: long non-coding RNA (ACOM_LNC017136)
Source: RNAcentral